This 69-nucleotide transfer RNA is filed under the name Sphaerodactylus townsendi. Its description in RNAcentral is "tRNA-Ala". Lineage: Eukaryota; Metazoa; Chordata; Lepidosauria; Squamata; Sphaerodactylidae. The record is from RNAcentral.
ACCAUGGCUCUGUGGCAGAGUAUUUGCUUUGCGCGCAGAAGGUCCUCGGUUCAGUCCCGAGGAUCUUCA